This is a long non-coding RNA of Nannospalax galili (Upper Galilee mountains blind mole rat), 575 nucleotides long. RefSeq lists it as uncharacterized. The transcript has 3 exons. NCBI's taxonomy places the organism in Eukaryota, Metazoa, Chordata, Mammalia, Rodentia, Spalacidae. The record is from RefSeq and is a predicted model, not a curated record.
UCCCCAAGCCCUUCAGGCUUGGACUGUGGUCACUGCACUGUGGCAGCUAGUGCCCCAACAGGGACCCCUGACAUUGCACCCAGAGGAGGUUUUUAGGGUAGAGUUGCAAUUUAAAAUUGGACAAAGAGAACAACUUAAAGGAAGAAAGAUUUAUUUUGGUCUCAGAGGUUUCCGUCAAUGGUUGGUUUUCUGCUGUGAACUUGGAGAAAUAACCCUAGUUGAGGAUAGUGUCCUGGAGGAGGUUCUUUUCCUCAAUAUGGACUGGAAGCCAAGAGACUGGGAGGGGCCAUGACUAGUUAUAUUCCUCAAAGCCAUGCCCGCAGCGACCUCUUCUUCCAACUUAGCUUUGUCAAUUGACACAACCUGGCGUAACCUGGAGAGUCUCAAUGAUGGCUCAUCUUGUUCAGGUUGGCUUCUGGGCAUGCCUGUGGGUGACUGUCUUGAUUAUACCUUGAGAAGAUUCAUCCUGAAAGGGGAUGACAUCAUUCCCUGGUUUGGAGCGCUGGAUUAUAAAAGAGAAGAGAAAUUUGCCUGGGUAUUAAGCAUGCAUUCAUUGCUCUUUGUUCUUGACUCUG